AUGAAUGGAUGGCUGUGUCAUGAGCACCAUCUUCUUGGACUAUUGCAAAAGCUGCUGUUCCUCUGGUUUUCCACCUUCAGGGUUUCCAGCCUCCCAACAAGAUUGAAAUCACCCUGCAAUGACCUCUACGUGCUCCAGUGAAAGGAAGAGUUGCACAUCUCUCUUUUAAAUUAAAAGCUAGAAAUAAUUAAAUUUGGUGAAGGAGGAAGGUCAAAAGCCACGAUAGGCUGAAAGCUAGACCUCUGUGCCAAAGAGUUAGCCAAGUUGUGAAUGAAAAGGAAAAGUUCUUGAAGGAAAUUAAGAGUGCUGCUUCAGUGAACAACACAUAGAAGAUAAAAACAACAACAACAACAACAACAACAACAACAACAACAAACAAUACAGCCUUAAUGCUGAUAUGGAGAAAGUUCUAGUCUGUCUGGAUAGAAGAUCAAACCAGCCACAACAUUCCCCUAAGCCAAAGCCAAGUCCAGAGCAAUGUCCUAACUCUUAAGUUCUACAAAGACUGAGAUUGGUGAGGAAGCUGCAGAAGAGAAGUUGGAAGGAGUGCUUGCUUCUUGCUGUACCUGCUGCAGUUGCUUUCAGUUGGAGGAAAUUUAUGCCACUUGUGUUACAGAAAAUCUGCAAAACCUGCUGGUGACCAGUGCCUCUGGAGAGCUUGAAGACUGCAGAGAUGUUUACUAUGGGCUCUUGGGACAAUGGGGAAAAUUAUGUUUCAUUGUGAUCUAUUAGAGAUUUUGGAAAUUUGGACUCUGAUAGAGGGUUUGAAGGAGAUUGUCAAUUAUUGUGUGACAUUAGACACUAUGAUGAUAUAAUGGAUUGACAGUUUUUUAACCAGGAAAGAAUUGUAGCUGCUUCAUCAACAGAAUGUGUAUCAGUUUCCCUUCACUGUCUGAAUAACCAGACUCAGUUAACCAGCUAUGAACUACAGCUUAUUACCACACAGGCCCAGGAAGUCAUUCAUGUAGCAGUGCACCAUGUACAGGUGUUGUGUGCAACAACCCAGAAAUCAUUAAUAUUGGAGAUGAUGGUUGAAUAAAUCUCUUCAAAGCUUAUCACAAGGAAGCUGUAAGAACUGUAAACAAUGCAGGUGGUAGUAUACUCCAUAGUGUAAUCUUUCUUCAAACUCCUGAGAUUCUUACUGUAAAUUCAACUGGGCAGUUAAAAAUGUGGGAUUUCACACAACAAGGAAAUGAACCUUUUCAGAUAUUGUCACUAACCGGUGACCGAAUCCCCCCCCACGGUGUUGCUAGAAAUCUCAUUAAACAGCAUGUUGGAGCUACUAGUGCCAGGAUGGAAUGUUGAUUAUUUGGAAUGUUAGACAAGGUACUAUGCCUGUAUUUCCGCCAAAGCCUUACGAAGCUAAAAUGAACGCUAAAAUUACUUUCAUCCAUCCAACCCAGAUCCUCCAUUUAUUGUUCUGAAGAUGAAUUCCUGUGGCACUGGGAUGUGCCACAGAUGUGCCAUAACUCUUUCGCCGAGGAGGAAGAGCUAGUACUUUUUUGUCUCAGAGCAUUAGUAACCAAGCUAAUAUUCACCAGUCUCUCAAAGUUCUUGGCUCAGCACUGAUCCUACAAAAGACCAAAUUGAAAUCACAAGCUUACUUCUCAAUAGGAAGUAAUAUGGAGGGAAGACCCUAUUCAUCUGGAUAGAAGACCAAACCAUUUGGAUGUUUUUGGUUCUUGUCUUGUUUGUAGAACUGAUACAAAAGCAAUUUAUGUUACUGGACAACUUUUUUCAUGAAACUACUGUAAUUAUAAGAUUUUAGAUAAAUUUUAGAUUGGUCUUUUGAAUUCCACCUUUGGUGCAAACUUUUACUAUCAGAAUAUGUGAAAUUUGCUGGGAAACAUCGGUAGAUUACUGUUAGUGUCAGUUUCCAGCUUUGGCUUUAGUUAGUUGGAUUUUCCCACAACAGUUGCUUAUCUUUAGCCAUUUUCACUUUUUGAGGUAGUUUGGCAUUUUCUUAUUAAUUUACAAUAUCUUUUGAUAUAUGAAGCAUUUUUUGCCUUCGGUUAUAUGAUACAAGUGUUUUUCAAUUUAUUUUUGGCUUUACUUACGGUGCUUUUCAUAGAAGUUUGCAUUUUGUGGUAAAAUCAACCAGUUUCUUUCUUUACAAUUCCUGUCCCUGGCAUCAUACUGUUCGUAUCCUAGGUUUAUAUAAGUGUUAAACAGCAAUUUCUUCUAUUUUGUGGUUUUGUUUUUUACAUAUAAUGAUAUAUGAAAUUUAAUUAUUCAGUACAUCUCAAGCUUUUUUUCCCUUUAAAAUGAAAGAAAAGUUGUAAGCUAGCAGAAGCUGGUUCAUGAGCUUGAAGGAAAGAAGCCAUCUUCAUAAUACAAAAGUAUAAGGUUUGAAACAGCAAGUGCUAAUCUAGAAGUUGGAGCAAGUUAUCCAAAAGAUCUAGCUAAGAUAAUUGAUGAAGCUGACUCCAUGAAACAACAGAUUUUCUUUCUUUCUUUUUUUUUUUUUUGAGACGGAGUUUUGCUCUUGUUACCCAGGCUGGAGUGCAAUGGCGCAAUCUCAGCUCACCGCAACCUCCGCCUCCUGGGUUCAGGCAGUUCUCCAGCCUCAGCCUCCAGAGUAGCUGGGGUUACAGGCACGCACCACCAUGCCCAGCUAAGUUUCUGUAUUUUUAGUAGAGAUGGGGUUUCACCAUGUUGACCAGGAUGGUCUUGAUCUAUUGACCUCGUGAUCCACCCGCCUCGGCCUCCCAAAGUGCUGGGAUUACAGGCUUGAGCCACCG
Molecule: long non-coding RNA, 2741 nt
Organism: Callithrix jacchus (white-tufted-ear marmoset)
Lineage: Eukaryota; Metazoa; Chordata; Mammalia; Primates; Cebidae
Source: Ensembl